GGGGCCGUAGGCUAGCUUGGUCUAGACUGCGAGGCUUGGGCCCUCGUGACCCCGGUUCAAAUCCGGGCGGCCCCACCA
Molecule: transfer RNA, 78 nt
Filed under: Thermoproteota archaeon
Lineage: Archaea; Thermoproteati; Thermoproteota
Also listed under: 2 other names
Description: tRNA-Pro
Rfam family: tRNA
About the family: Transfer RNA (tRNA) molecules are approximately 80 nucleotides in length. Their secondary structure includes four short double-helical elements and three loops (D, anti-codon, and T loops).
Source: RNAcentral